Molecule: long non-coding RNA, 439 nt
Organism: Drosophila subpulchrella
Lineage: Eukaryota; Metazoa; Arthropoda; Insecta; Diptera; Drosophilidae
Exons: 2
Source: RefSeq, a predicted model, not a curated record
AGCCCAUGUAAGUAUAUAGUUUCCAUGUUUAUUUCAUUCUCAUUUCGACUGUUCUGUAUCAAACUAAAUUUGUUGUCCUGUCUCAAAUCAUUUUUUGUUCGGCUAGAAAAACGUGACUUGUACGAAUUAACCAUGUGCUGUGGACCUUGUGGACCGUGCUGCGGACCCUGCGGAUAUAGGUGUUCUCCCUGCGGACCAUGCUGUGGGCGUUGUGGACCAUGUAGGCCGUGUGGACCCUGCUGCGGACCCUGUGGACCGUGUUGCGGGCCAUUUGGUAGCUGCUGUGGAGGUUGUUGGUGCUAAGUGCCUAGCAUCUGCAGCCGAAUCGAUUCAAGGGACCAUUGCUACUUCUAUUUCGCACACUAAGGUUAACGUAACACCUAACACUCAAAGCCAAAUUUUAUAAAUAAAGACAAUGCAACAGUAAACAAUUUAAAAA